This 1216-nucleotide ribosomal RNA is filed under the name metagenome. RNAcentral's name for it is "bacterial SSU rRNA". It matches the Rfam family "Bacterial small subunit ribosomal RNA", at positions 104 to 1291 of the family's 1533-position model. The record is from RNAcentral.
GGGUGCGUAACACGUGGGUAAUUUGCCGUGAGGUUCGGGAUAACCUGCCGAAAGGUAGGCUAAUACCGAAUGUGACUUUUGGAAGGCAUCUUCUAAGAUUCAAAGCUGGGGACCGAAAGGCCUGGCGCUUCAUGAUAAGCCCGCGGCCUAUCAGCUUGUUGGUGAGGUAAAGGCUCACCAAGGCUAAGACGGGUAACUGGUCUGAGAGGACGAUCAGUCACACUGGAAUUGAGACACGGUCCAGACACCUACGGGUGGCAGCAGUCGAGAAUCUUUCACAAUGGGCGAAAGCCUGAUGGAGCGACGCCGCGUGGGGGAUGAAGGGCUUCGGUCCGUAAACCCCUGUCAUCUGUGAACAAACCUUUCUAUUUAAAAGAUGGAAAGCUGAUAGUAGCAGAAGAGGAAGGGACGGCUAACUCUGUGCCAGCAGCCGCGGUAAUACAGAGGUCCCAAGCGUUGUUCGGAUUCACUGGGCGUAAAGGGUGCGUAGGUGGCAAGGUAAGUUUGAUGUGAAAUCUCCGGGCUCAACCCGGAAAAUGCAUUGAAUACUAUCUAGCUUGAGGGUCGGAAGGGAGACUGGAAUUCUCGGUGUAGCAGUGAAAUGCGUAGAUAUCGAGAGGAACACCAGUGGCGAAGGCGAGUCUCUGGACGACACCUGACACUGAGGCACGAAAGCUAGGGGAGCAAACAGGAUUAGAUACCCUGGUAGUCCUAGCCGUAAACGGUGCACACUUGCUGUAAGAGGAUUCGACCCCUUUUGUGGCGAAGCUAACGCGUUAAGUGUGCCGCCUGGGGAGUACGGUCGCAAGAUUAAAACUCAAAGAAAUUGACGGGGGCCUGCACAAGCGGUGGAGUAUGUGGCUUAAUUCGAUUCAACGCGAAGAACCUUACCUGGCCUUGACAUGUAGGUGGUAGAAGCCUGAAAGGGUGACGACCUCGCAAGAGGAGCUUACACAGGUGCUGCAUGGCUGUCGUCAGCUCGUGUCGUGAGAUGUUGGGUUAUUCCCGCAACGAGCGCAACCCCUGUGUCCUGUUGCCACCCGAACGCAAGUUCGGAGCACUCUGGACAGACUGCCUCGCUUAAACGAGGAGGAAGGUGGGGAUGACGUCAAGUCAGUAUGGCCCUUACGGCCAGGGCUGCACACGUACUACAAUGCCCAGCACAGAGGGAAGCAAGACCGCAAGGUGGAGCAAAUCCCAAAAAAACUGGGCCCAG